GUAAUAGUAAUGUCUCUGCAUCAGUUGACAUGUCUUACGUGUUGUUGUAUGCUUGGCAUUAUGUUCAGCACCACUGAGUGUGCGUACUGGCUUUGAUUGAACUGAUUUCAUGUGGAACUGUUGAAUGAAGAUGCAUGUACACUUGUGUGAAGUAAUGUACGCACCANCUGUGAUCAUGCACUGUUUGCACAUGUUUUCAUGUGCUUCCUUGCUAAUUCUUGAUGUCACUUGGCAUAUUAUAACUACCCUCACUUGACCCGUCUUGAAACACGGACCAAGGAGUCUGGCAAGUGUGCAAACUGACUUUGUGUCAAGACUUGCAUGUAAUGAACAUGACUGUUUCAUGACAUCACCACCAAUCAAUUUUCAGUUUGUUGAUAAUUUGAAUGCGAGCAUUGUUGCUAGGACCCGAAAGAUGGUGAACUAUGUUGCAUAACA
RNAcentral lists this ribosomal RNA (438 nucleotides) under Ostreopsis cf. siamensis. Its description in RNAcentral is "partial large subunit ribosomal RNA". It matches the Rfam family "Eukaryotic large subunit ribosomal RNA", at positions 451 to 845 of the family's 3401-position model. The record is from RNAcentral. Lineage: Eukaryota; Dinophyceae; Peridiniales; Ostreopsidaceae.